AACCUGGUUGAUCCUGCCAGUAGUCAUAUGCUUGUCUCAAAGAUUAAGCCAUGCAUGUCUAAGUGUAAAUAAGUCUAUACUGUGAAACUGCGAAUGGCUCAUUAAAUCAGUUAUCGUUUAUUUGAUGAUCUCUUAUUACUUGGAUAACCGUAGUAAUUCUAGAGCUAAUACAUGCACACAAUCCCGACUUCUGGAAGGGAUGUAUUUAU
RNAcentral lists this ribosomal RNA (209 nucleotides) under uncultured marine eukaryote. RNAcentral describes it as "partial 18S ribosomal RNA". It matches the Rfam family "Eukaryotic small subunit ribosomal RNA", at positions 1 to 210 of the family's 1831-position model. The record is from RNAcentral.